Long non-coding RNA from Humulus lupulus (European hop), 331 nucleotides. RefSeq lists it as uncharacterized. NCBI's taxonomy places the organism in Eukaryota, Viridiplantae, Streptophyta, Magnoliopsida, Rosales, Cannabaceae. The transcript has 2 exons. The record is from RefSeq and is a predicted model, not a curated record.
UCAGACUUUAUGCGAGUAUGGGUUGAUGUUGAUAUUGUACCAGAAUCUUACUUAUUUCGUCCUAAUAAUGGGAUGCUUACAAUAAAAGAAGCAGUUGGUUCCACAGUUGCAUGGCCUUCUAAAAAAGUUAUUCCAAGAGAUGUGACAAGCGAAAUAGAAAAGGAUACUUAAUUUUGAAGGCUUUGUGUUGGGCAGCUGUAGAAUAUUUUGUGUUGAAAGUAGUAACUUUUCAAUAUGUUGAAUAUUUAAGACUACUUGAAUACUUAAAGAACAUUUUGUUGUUGAUGACAGUGUUGAAUGUUUUAAACUAAUUUGUGGAUUGUUAAUACAA